This is a long non-coding RNA of Pangasianodon hypophthalmus (striped catfish), 667 nucleotides long. RefSeq lists it as uncharacterized. The transcript has 2 exons. Lineage: Eukaryota; Metazoa; Chordata; Actinopteri; Siluriformes; Pangasiidae. The record is from RefSeq and is a predicted model, not a curated record.
AGAGAGAGAAUAGUGUUGGUGGUGGUGGUGGUGAGAGGUGUACAGGGAAAGAAUAGUGGUGGUGGUGUUGGUGGUAUGACAGGAGUUGAGGGAGUGUUUCUGGGUGUCAGUGUUGCGCUGUGCCAGAGAAGGUCACAUUACCCUGACGCUGGUAGAGCUGGGUUUUAAAUAGAGGGAGCCAUUCCUCCACCCUGCUCCCAGUGCACUAUUUUAGGGACAUGCUGAAGAGACACGGGGUGGGAAGGCGCUAAGUGUGGAUCCACUGCUGCCCCAAAAUGUGCAAGCAGACUGCUGAUCUACCUUUAAACCCCAACAUUUGAUGACGGCAGGAAAGCAAGCAAUAUAUGCCGCCCUCCGUCUCUCGAUUGCUCUCUAAAGCAUAUGGACAGUAGUUGCCGGCCCGCUCGCCCGCACUUGGCCCUGUCACUCAUGCCCUGAGUCCCCCGCCCCCGUCUCGUCUUACCCCCGAGUUGGUCUCUCAGUCCGUCUGCGCACCAUUAGUGAGCUCUGUGUUGCAGACGCUGCCUAGCCUGCUGCGCCUCUCCUCUUUGGUCUUCACACGCUAAGUCACCGCAGAGUGGGAACAUCGUCAUCAUCAUCUCUUUUUUGGGCUUUUUUUUUUAAACUCACCCGCGUGCGGUGCAUUUUGCGAAACCUACCUGAAUCC